Small nuclear RNA from Dendronephthya gigantea, 119 nucleotides. RefSeq annotates it as U5 spliceosomal RNA. Lineage: Eukaryota; Metazoa; Cnidaria; Anthozoa; Malacalcyonacea; Nephtheidae. The record is from RefSeq and is a predicted model, not a curated record. The transcript has a single exon.
AAGCCUUGGUUCUCCUUCAUUUACACGAAAAAAUCUUUCGCCUUUUACUAAAGAUUUCCGUGGAGGAGAACAACACAAUGAGCAACAAAAUAGAACUCGUGUUUUAAAAGGUAAAAGAU